Molecule: small RNA, 371 nt
Filed under: Cryptococcus neoformans H99
Lineage: Eukaryota; Fungi; Basidiomycota; Tremellomycetes; Tremellales; Cryptococcaceae
Description: Cryptococcus neoformans var. grubii H99 hypothetical RNA
Source: RNAcentral
ACACCCUUUGAUUUUUAUUUAUGCUAUGCCGCUGCGAUUAUUACGAGCGUGCUCUUUUCCUGCGAUUGAAGAGAAAAUCAAAGCGGGAGGCCGAUCGUGGCUAACUGAUAAAAGCUCAGUCGCGUUGCGCGCCUCCUGCUGGUUGACUCAUUUACCAUCAGCGCGUCCAUCAUAUGCACGCGACUCGAUGAUUUCUGAUUUCCCUCUGCCGGCCGUCAGCAGAUACUAACUGGUGACUUUCAGGUGACGAACCAUGGUCAAUCAUAGAUGGCCCAUGGCCAAGAAAUACAUCGAAAAGCUGACCUGCGCCUGAAUGCUGUCUUCUACCGGGUACUGAGUAUCAUGAAUAAUGCAAGUGUAUUUUUUGGUAG